This 253-nucleotide ribosomal RNA is filed under the name uncultured bacterium. Its description in RNAcentral is "partial 16S ribosomal RNA". It matches the Rfam family "Bacterial small subunit ribosomal RNA", at positions 524 to 776 of the family's 1533-position model. The record is from RNAcentral.
UACGUAGGGGGCGAGCGUUGUCCGGAGUUACUGGGCGUAAAGCGCGCGCAGGCGGCUAUCCAAGUCAGUGGUGAAAGCCCGGAGCUCAACUCCGGAACUGCCAUUGAAACUGUUUAGCUUGAGGAUGAGAGAGGUGAGUGGAAUUCCCAGUGUAGAGGUGAAAUUCGUAGAUAUUGGGAAGAACACCGGUGGCGAAGGCGGCUCACUGGCUCAUUACUGACGCUCAGGCGCGAUAGCGUGGGGAUCAAACAGG